UAGAUUUGAGCUUUACAAAACAGCUAGCAUGAUUGGGGUGAGCCUGCCGUCUUCGCACCGGUUUCUUGUCAGGAAUCCGAAUAGCGUCUUGGCAUGCUCCGCCAACCCUGGAGAGGCUAAGCUGUCAUAGGGCUGUAGAAGAUAGCUUCUUCAAACCUCAGAUUCUGGUAGUCAUGCUCCUUGUCCGGGAACGUAGUGGAUGUGCUGCAAAGGGCAGAAACCACGCCGUCGGUCAUCAACAGCAGCUGUAAAACAAGUUUCUCGGUCUUUCCUUUUCUGCCAUAUUGUAUCUCGCGGCUCCCAUCUAUUCCUCUAUCCAACCAUCCACCACGCAACUUGCCCGCCGACCUUCGCCCCUAAUCAUCCCAACCUUCCCGAUACGGCGCACUGCAAGAUUAGUGGAUCAAUAACUCCGUGGAGAGCUUUGUGCGCGACACGUUCGGUGAUGCGGUCUGGACAUCCGUACUGACGGCCGCUGGUGUCAGCGACAGCGGCGGAUGGGUGUCUUCCUGCCCAUACCCGGAUAGCGAAACCUACAAGCUCGUAGUCACGGCCUCCAACAUGCUGGGCGUGACACCCGCACAGGCGCUCGAGGCGUACGGCGUCUACUUUGUCGAUUACGUGACAAAGCAGGUCAGUCAGUCAAUCAACCUGCCAGCUUCACACAACCAACCCGCUGUCCUGAGUCUCCAGGGGCUUCACCACCCUGCAACUGCUAUAACACGCCAUUUUCCUUGCAUGUGCAUUCGCAUUCGCAUUCGCAUUCACAUUCACAUUCUAUAUAUUGAAGUGUUACAGAGUG
RNAcentral lists this long non-coding RNA (802 nucleotides) under Volvox carteri. RNAcentral describes it as "long non-coding RNA (VCAR_LNC001449)". Lineage: Eukaryota; Viridiplantae; Chlorophyta; Chlorophyceae; Chlamydomonadales; Volvocaceae. The record is from RNAcentral.